GACGCCGCGCCGCGCACAUCUAGCCAGUCUCGUUACGGACCAUGCGCGGUACAGACGUGUGUUGUAAUUUCACAAAUAUUAAAGUAAUUAUUCAGUAAAAAGAUCCAGAAUUAUAGAUCUCCCUGCCUCGUCCGAGAUGACCUCGAGAAUCUUCCACAAAAGCGGUGUCAGAGAGGCGCGGAGUGUUAUUAAAGUUGCUGCAGUGCUGACUGUAUACCUCACGGGUGGCCGG
Long non-coding RNA from Spodoptera frugiperda (fall armyworm), 232 nucleotides. RefSeq lists it as uncharacterized. The record is from RefSeq and is a predicted model, not a curated record. The transcript is spliced from 3 exons. NCBI's taxonomy places the organism in Eukaryota, Metazoa, Arthropoda, Insecta, Lepidoptera, Noctuidae.